Molecule: long non-coding RNA, 281 nt
Organism: Xenopus laevis (African clawed frog)
Lineage: Eukaryota; Metazoa; Chordata; Amphibia; Anura; Pipidae
Exons: 3
Source: RefSeq, a predicted model, not a curated record
CUGAUUGCAACUGAUUGCAACUGCAAUUUAAAUCUAUAGCAGGCAGCAUCCCAUGCUUAUGAAUGAAGUCACAGUUCACACAGAAAUGCUGUACAAUCCAGGGCAGUGUGAUCUGUAAUAAUGUAGUCAUAGAGAGUGGUGCAGAUAUCAAAGACUGCUUAGUUGGGCACAUAUACAUAUAAGCAGUAAAGCAAAACGCGUCAAUGAAAUAAUCAUGGGCAAUGAACAGCUGAUGGAGAUCUAAUGCUGAUGGAGAUCUAAUAAAAGUCCGUUUUGCUUUG